GAUGAACGCUGGCGGCGUGCUUAACACAUGCAAGUCGAACGGUGAAGGCGGAGCUUGCUCUGCUGGAUCAGUGGCGAACGGGUGAGUAACACGUGAGCAAUCUGCCCCUGACUCUGGGAUAAGCGCUGGAAACGGCGUCUAAUACUGGAUACGAGCUGCGAAGGCAUCUUCAGCAGCUGGAAAGAAUUUCGGUCAGGGAUGAGCUCGCGGCCUAUCAGCUUGUUGGUGAGGUAAUGGCUCACCAAGGCGUCGACGGGUAGCCGGCCUGAGAGGGUGACCGGCCACACUGGGACUGAGACACGGCCCAGACUCCUACGGGAGGCAGCAGUGGGGAAUAUUGCACAAUGGGCGAAAGCCUGAUGCAGCAACGCCGCGUGAGGGACGACGGCCUUCGGGUUGUAAACCUCUUUUAACAGGGAAGAAGCGAAAGUGACGGUACCUGCAGAAAAAGCGCCGGCUAACUACGUG
This 468-nucleotide ribosomal RNA is filed under the name uncultured bacterium. RNAcentral describes it as "partial 16S ribosomal RNA". It matches the Rfam family "Bacterial small subunit ribosomal RNA", at positions 28 to 507 of the family's 1533-position model. The record is from RNAcentral.